UACGUAGGGUCCGAGCGUUGUCCGGAAUUACUGGGCGUAAAGCGCACGUAGGCGGAUUGUUAAGUCAGGGGUGAAAUCCCGAGGCUCAACCUCGGAACUGCCUUUGAUACUGGCAAUCUCGAGUCCGGAAGAGGUGAGUGGAAUUCCUAGUGUAGAGGUGAAAUUCGUAGAUAUUGGGAAGAACACCAGUGGCGAAGGCGGCUCACUGGUCCGAUACUGACGCUGAGGUGCGAAAGCGUGGGGAGCAAACAGG
This 253-nucleotide ribosomal RNA is filed under the name uncultured bacterium. RNAcentral's name for it is "partial 16S ribosomal RNA". It matches the Rfam family "Bacterial small subunit ribosomal RNA", at positions 524 to 776 of the family's 1533-position model. The record is from RNAcentral.